Molecule: ribosomal RNA, 461 nt
Filed under: uncultured Bacteroides sp.
Lineage: Bacteria; Pseudomonadati; Bacteroidota; Bacteroidia; Bacteroidales; Bacteroidaceae
Description: bacterial SSU rRNA
Rfam family: Bacterial small subunit ribosomal RNA
Source: RNAcentral
CCUACGUGAGGCAGCAGUGAGGAAUAUUGGUCAAUGGACGCAAGUCUGAACCAGCCAAGUAGCGUGAAGGAUGACUGCCCUCUGGGUUGUAAACUUCUUUUAUACGGGAAUAACAUGAGGUACGCGUACCUUAUUGCAUGUACCGUUAUGAAUAAGCAUCGGCUAACUCCGUGCCAGCAGCCGCGGUAAUACGGAGGAUGCGAGCGUUAUCCGGAUUUAUUGGGUUUAAAGGGAGCGUAGGUGGGAUAUUAAGUCAGCUGUGAAAGUUUGGGGCUCAACCUUAAAAUUGCAGUUGAUACUGGUUGCCUUGAGUACGGUACAGGUGGGCGGAAUUCGUGGUGUAGCGGUGAAAUGCUUAGAUAUCACGAAGAACUCCGAUCGCGAAGGCAGCUCACCGGGCCGGAACUGACACUGAUGCUCGAAAGUGCGGGUAUCAAACAGGAUUAGAUACCCUGGUAGUC